This 395-nucleotide transfer-messenger RNA is filed under the name Candidatus Kerfeldbacteria bacterium CG_4_9_14_3_um_filter_45_8. It matches the Rfam family "transfer-messenger RNA". From Rfam's summary of the family: Bacterial tmRNA, also known as 10Sa RNA or SsrA, is named for its dual tRNA and mRNA-like properties. Its role is to liberate the mRNA from a stalled ribosome. RNAcentral also lists the same sequence under 1 other name. The record is from RNAcentral. Lineage: Bacteria; Candidatus Kerfeldiibacteriota.
GGGGAUGACUAUAGUCGAUAGUUCUUACCGAAUUUGUUUCCUGGCAUGUCGGGUGGGCUCCCGUAUCAGCCCAACUUCAGAAGUGCAAACUUCUUUAGCCGUGCAAAGUCUGCGAUGGCAAACGCCUUCCAGAUGCCUGCAUUGGCUCCUGUCGUAGCCUAAAUCCUACGACCAUCGCAACCGGUUGACGUCUGAUAGACCGACCCGCGGUGCAACCCUUUAUCAGACUUACGCGGACUGUUGCUUGGCAGAAAGCGGACAAUACAUGCAAGCUAGAGGUGCCGGCGCAUUUGCUCAUUUUUUGCUGGCUCCUCGAAUAAACUAAAUGAGAUACGCAUGUAGUCAGCAAUAGAUUCAAGAGCUACACGCGGGUGUGAGACCCGCCAUCUCCACAU